RNAcentral lists this long non-coding RNA (745 nucleotides) under Phoenix dactylifera (date palm). Its description in RNAcentral is "long non-coding RNA (PDAC_LNC010459)". Lineage: Eukaryota; Viridiplantae; Streptophyta; Magnoliopsida; Arecales; Arecaceae. The record is from RNAcentral.
AGAGAACUUUAUUGAAUAACCACUCAACUGAUUACAAUAAGCUCUCUUGGCCUCUCCAGCUCUACCGGAUCCCAAUCCCUCCCCUUUGAGGGUCCUCUUAUAGAGGAGCAACCUCCAGUUACAAGUCCCUCACGAACUCAACUUCUCAUGCACAAGAUAAGGAUGAAUUCUAGAUAAGAUAGGAAAACCCCCAUUCCCGCAGGAUUCUGCGCAAUCAGAUAAAACCGCCAAGUUCAUGCCUCAAACGAACUCGGAUUACCAUAAAACUAGAUUCGUUGGAUUCAGGACGAAAAAUGCUUCCAGAUGGCACCUUUUCCACUUUGAACGGACUUCUGUAGAGUUCCCGAAAUGCCCCUCAAAGUGAAAAUGCGUGGAAACAGCGUUACAGCCACGUCCUCUAACCAUACACGUUUUCAGUUAUAAAAACGUGUUAAAACGUGUCCCUUGCCUUCUGGAGACUUAUGCCACGUUCCUCCAUCAGUGGCACACAUUUCCACGCAUCCCAAUUUCCCGGAUUCAGUCCAUGCUUCGAGAUAAGCCCACAACGCUGAAUCAGUCUCGUUGCAGCAGCUUUUCUCCUAAUGAUGAACCAACAUGUAUUCUCAACAAUACACGCCUUGGAGCACGUCCCACGGCCCCAUGCUCUUGGGUAUUCCACCUACAUCUUGCACACAUUUCCCUAGGUGAUCCUAGGGCCCAGAUUUGGUCUCCAAGUUGCCCAAAUCUCUAGAGAGCACCGUCAAAC